UUGUGUAAUGCAAUCCCUUGCUGUCUGGUUUUUAGAUUUCUUUCGUUUGAACAACCAAACGCAGCACAGAAGUCCGGCAUCGUCCAUGCAUUUAAAGUACAAGAGCACCGUAUAAAGAUGGCGGCGGUUUUGACGUAUUUUUAGGACCCCAAGGCGACAUCUAGUGUAUAGAUAUCUAUGCUCCAACAUGAGAACGAGGCGGAAAUGGGAGCAGCUCUGCGGGUUCGUGUGUUUAUUUUAACUCGCUUUGCUGUUCGAUAAAUCCGGGCUGCGUCCCAAAUCACUUCCUGUUUAAAAACAAGUGCACUAGGUAGGGUGCAAGGGGAGACAUUAUGGCCUAGACCUUUACUCGUGUGUCUGUUGAGACGGAUUACAAAGUAUUAACUUUGUCUGUGUCCUACUUGUACUUUCUGUGCACUUGUACAUCCAUCCAUACUGUUGUUUUAGUCUGAGCUGUAACUUAUUGCUCAUUUAUACAGAGUAGGGAGUGAUUUGGAACACAGCCAUCACUCUUAUACUCAGCUAGAAGGUCUAAUUUAUAAAUGCACUACAAAGUGCUCACUAGUGCUCUCACAGAUGAAGUAGGACAUCAUUUUGGAUCGAACCCAAGACUAUUUUGGCUUGUUGCCUGGCAACGUCUGUCUGGAUGGUCAUGCUGUUAACAUGACAGUUUAACCAGUUGCCCACCAGACUGCUCAAAUGAAAACUCGAGGAUCUGCAGCUGUCACUUUGUUGGUGGAAUGAAAUCUGCAGCUCCCAGUGUGUUCCAGUGGAAUGAGAAGAAACUGACCUGCUUCACAGCUUCACAUUCUGACCUGAAGAUAGAGCUGGAGAACUUACACACUUUGUGAGGAACCUGAGGAGAAGAAUGUGAUGAAUGUAGCUACAGGAAUAACUGUGGCUCUCAGGCCUGCAGGAGGAGACGAGAAGACCAUGUGCUGUAAACAGGAAGAAAUGGAAUUGGAGAUCAGUCGGUUUCAAACACGUCCGACUCCAACAGGAACUCUGAGGAAAUCUGAUCAGAAUGUGUCUGAGAGUGUUUUACAACCCUGACCAGUUUAAAUCAUCUCCACGUCAUGCUGAUAACUGUGUACCUUCUAGGAUUUCAUUCUAAGCUGAUUUGGGAAUUCAAUUCAAGACACUGACAGAAAGGUCAAGCAGGUUGUGAUCAAGCCUGACACCAUUAAUGCAGGCCCAACACACCGAUGAAGUGGCCUGCCCAGGAGCUGUUCACUCCGGCGCCAGGACACCGCAGGCCCUGG
Molecule: long non-coding RNA, 1262 nt
Organism: Tachysurus fulvidraco (yellow catfish)
Lineage: Eukaryota; Metazoa; Chordata; Actinopteri; Siluriformes; Bagridae
Exons: 6
Source: RefSeq, a predicted model, not a curated record